GACGAACGCUGGCGGCGUGCCUAAUACAUGCAAGUCGAACGCUGAAGGAGGAGCUUGCUUCUCUGGAUGAGUUGCGAACGGGUGAGUAACGCGUAGGUAACCUGCCUGGUAGCGGGGGAUAACUAUUGGAAACGAUAGCUAAUACCGCAUAAUAGUAGAUGUUGCAUGACAUUUGCUUAAAAGGUGCAAUUGCAUCACUACCAGAUGGACCUGCGUUGUAUUAGCUAGUUGGUGGGGUAACGGCUCACCAAGGCGACGAUACAUAGCCGACCUGAGAGGGUGAUCGGCCACACUGGGACUGAGACACGGCCCAGACUCCUACGGGAGGCAGCAGUAGGGAAUCUUCGGCAAUGGACGGAAGUCUGACCGAGCAACGCCGCGUGAGUGAAGAAGGUUUUCGGAUCGUAAAGCUCGGUUGUAAGAGAAGAACGAGUGUGAGAGUGGAAAGUUCACACUGUGACGGUAUCUUACCAGAAAGGGACGGCUAACUACGUG
Molecule: ribosomal RNA, 495 nt
Filed under: uncultured bacterium
Lineage: Bacteria
Description: partial 16S ribosomal RNA
Rfam family: Bacterial small subunit ribosomal RNA
Source: RNAcentral